This 321-nucleotide ribosomal RNA is filed under the name uncultured eukaryote. RNAcentral describes it as "partial 18S ribosomal RNA". It matches the Rfam family "Eukaryotic small subunit ribosomal RNA", at positions 1470 to 1796 of the family's 1831-position model. The record is from RNAcentral.
CCCUUAGACGUUCUGGGCCGCACGCGCGCUACACUGACCAGUGCAACAAGCAUCCGUCCUUGGCCGAUAGGUCUGGGUAAUCUUUGAACGCUGUUCGUGAUUGGGAUAGACCUUUGCAAUUAUGGGUCUUCAACGAGGAAUUCCUAGUAAACGCAAGUCAUCAGCUUGCAUUGAUUACGUCCCUGCCCUUUGUACACACCGCCCGUCGCACCUACCGAUUGAAUGGUCCGGUGAAAUCUCGGGACGGCGGCUUGGUCGCUUGCGUCCGACUGCUGAAACUUGAUUAAACCAUNUNAUUUAGNGGAAGGUGAANUCGUANCA